AAAUUGUACACCUUUUAAAGUACAUUUCAGUAUAAUUUGCAGUUUAACCGACAUAAUUGAGGUGAAAAGUCAAGCAGGCUAUAAAAGUAAUUGUUCCACCGCGAACAGGUGCAUGUUACAUUGCGCGCAACUUAUGGCCGCGAUCAAUUAAUUAAAUAAAUAUACUCGUAAAACAGAUUAUGAUUGCCACCGCUCCCCGAGUGGGCCCAAAGUGGAAUAAUUUGUUUAAAGUUCAGAUAGUUGACCUUUGUUGUGUGUGUGCGCCGAGCAAACAUAUACACAUAACUACAUAAUGUAUUGGUGUGCGUGUGUGAACUUGUACAGGUUAAGUUGCGCGUGCGCUCCCAGAUGGUGAAACAAAGGGCCUCAUUAAACUUGAACUCGCUUAAAUUAUCCACUUAAGCUUAAAUAAAGCGCCUUUCGCCGACUGUCAAUAAAUAUUAAAUUACAGCGUCCAUUAAUUCUUGUGUUCAUUAAUUGAAUUAAUAAUCAAACAGGAAUGAAUAAAACAUUAAACAUACAUAAUUAGACGUGUGUGAAUGGAUACAUUAGCAAGCAUGUCCGUGUGUGUAAUUAUUACAUGUUAGGGGAAAGUGGGGUAAACGCGAACGCGGGGUAAACCCGAACCCAAUAGUUUUAAUAUGUUAGAAAGAUAUAGCCGUAUAUCACUCGCCGGUAACUCAAAGAUCACGCCACCACCAGUGCCAGUCAACGACACGGGAGACGCGGACGCACGUACUUUUCAAGAUGCCCCGUAAUUAUAAAAGAAAAACUGAAACUAAAUACAGUUUAGAGGAUCUCAAAAAGGCUAUAGUCGAUGUUCAAACCAAGAAACUCAGCAUUGGCAGAGCAGCAAAUACUUGUGUUCCAAAAACUACAAUUUAACUUAGUAAUGUUAGUACGUGAUUACCCCACUUGGUGUUCGGCUUUACCCGACAUCAGUUGGGUAAAACCGAACACUAAGGGUUUUGUUUUUCGGUCAUUUUGUUAUAUUUUAUUUAAAAAAAUAAUGAUGUUGAUUAGUAAUACGUUAGCUAGAUAAGUAAAGUUUAUAAUUCAAUAAUUAAAGAAACUCUGUGAUUUGA
Long non-coding RNA from Spodoptera frugiperda (fall armyworm), 1085 nucleotides. RefSeq lists it as uncharacterized. Lineage: Eukaryota; Metazoa; Arthropoda; Insecta; Lepidoptera; Noctuidae. The transcript is spliced from 2 exons. The record is from RefSeq and is a predicted model, not a curated record.